Molecule: long non-coding RNA, 1864 nt
Filed under: Hordeum vulgare
Lineage: Eukaryota; Viridiplantae; Streptophyta; Magnoliopsida; Poales; Poaceae
Description: long non-coding RNA (HVUL_LNC015936)
Source: RNAcentral
GAAUAAUGUACUUGCACAUAUCUAUCUAAGAAAUGUUAAUUUGUUAAUCUUCAAUCGAGGGACGCCGUCAUUGUUUGAAUGGACAUCAUUCUUCAUCGGCGAUUACAAUGCCCUUGUUGCUUCUAUAUAUUGUGGUGGACCGUGAGUCCUAUAAAAUGUUUAGUUCAUAAAACUUAGUCCUUAUAAAUAAAUUGGCACAAUAUUUAGUGCGUAGCAUAUAUAAUCAAUGUAUGACAACUUACGCGGUCAUUCUGGCUUUCAGGAGAACUAUCACUUAGAGAUCUAUCAAUCAUAAGAUAUUUCACUUCUUGCACCUCAUCAUUGACUUUCCUUCGAUCACACUGGAUGGUCUGUUCUAGAAAAACAUAAAUGAUUUGUAGCUCAGUACUCCCUCCAUAAACUAAUAUAAGAGAAUUUAGAUCAUUACCUUAAUAAUCUAAACGCUCUUAUAAUAGUUUACAGAGGGAGUAAAUAUUAAUGAUUUAACACAAAGGAUAAUGCAGCUACUUUGUGAUGUACGAAAUCGAACCCUUUAUCCCAAUUUCGUGUUUCCUAAGAAACUCGUGCUGAUAAGUGUACUCAUGCUGACUAAUUAAUCAAAUAAUACACUUGCAUGUUGAGAUCGGGGCACAAGCAUUCUCCACUACAGCCAAAAAGCUCCUUGCGACCUGUGAAUAGGGAGGCUGACACGAAAAAGGCCUCGCCUCCUUCUGGAUAGGAUUAUUUUGAAAAUCUUUACCAUGAUGACAUGACUGAGCUUCCCUGAAGUGUAGGGCUGUAGACCUUGGUGUACCAGAUCGUUCAGCGCCUGAAGUUAGACGACUACGACGGUUCGGCUAGUCCAUGGAGGCAGCCGAUCAGCCGGCGAAAACCAGGUCUUUGCCGGGCUCAGAUUCUGCUCAGGGAUUUCUGCAGCAACAAUUGACAUGAAUCAAACCUAACGUGAAAAAAUCUCCUUACGCAGGUGGAGGACUAGAGGCAUGAGGAACAUCAAUAAGCACAUCUGCACGUACGUACCAUUGAGCCCGUCGAUCAGUCGUCACUAACGCAGGGGGACACACGGCCGGAGCGUGCCGGGUGGAGGUUGUGCGCAACCUCAGGCCUAUACAAGACGAGAGGACCUGUCCUUACUGGCCGCCGUAGGCACCUUGUCCACGAGCACACGUGUCCCCGCACAUCGGUGCCUCCUUGGCCAACAAAAACUCGUCACCUGAUGUGUCCCGGGCGGUGGCGACGGUAGGACGACGCCGGACACAACAUGCAUCACAUCCGCAUCCAGCGCACGACCGAGAUUUAACACAGAGACUUCCAGCUCUUACCAAAUCGGAGGAGAGAAAGGGGGAGUGAGUCGGGCUGGGUUACCGUCGGUGGAUCUUCGUGGCGCUGGAGGCGACGGGGAAUCCAAGGAGGUCGCGUACGUCGUCCGAUCAUAGGUUCCGCGCAUCCGCGCCCACGCGUUUCCACAGAUCAUGACCAUGCUCCGAGGGCUGCCAUCGAUUCCGAGUUCCGCCGAUGUAGUUCUAUAGAUCGCACGUACUCCUAUUUGUGAAUCUCAAUUAGGUUACAGAACCUGAACCUGAGAGUUUGUUAGUAUUUGUCCUUGCUUCUCUUCGUAUAAAAGCAAUAAAUAAUCGUUAUCAUGUGGAAAAUUAACAACGACCAUCAGUUUAGUACUCUCCUCGUCCCGCGGGAUUGGCUCGUCAUAGCAACAACGAACGACGUGUUGUACAUGGCUCGUCGUUAAAAUGCAAUUUUUUAGUAGUGGGAGUUGCUUCUUCUUCUUCUUCGUCGAUCUAGGAUGGGUUCCAGGCCGGCAGCCUGGGAUAGCAAGGAUGGACGUCGUUUUUCUUUUCUCGUUUGUUUU